GCCUGAGUGGCGGAAUCGGUAGACGCAGCGGACUCAAAAUCCGCCGAGGCAACCCCUCGUGAGAGUUCGAGUCUCUCCUUAGGCACCA
RNAcentral lists this transfer RNA (88 nucleotides) under Solimonas aquatica. RNAcentral's name for it is "tRNA_Leu_CAA". It matches the Rfam family "tRNA". Rfam says of the family: Transfer RNA (tRNA) molecules are approximately 80 nucleotides in length. Their secondary structure includes four short double-helical elements and three loops (D, anti-codon, and T loops). Lineage: Bacteria; Pseudomonadati; Pseudomonadota; Gammaproteobacteria; Nevskiales; Nevskiaceae. The record is from RNAcentral. RNAcentral also lists the same sequence under 6 other names.